RNAcentral lists this ribosomal RNA (254 nucleotides) under uncultured bacterium. RNAcentral describes it as "partial 16S ribosomal RNA". It matches the Rfam family "Bacterial small subunit ribosomal RNA", at positions 524 to 776 of the family's 1533-position model. The record is from RNAcentral.
CACGUAGGGUGCGAGCGUUGUCCGGAAUUAUUGGGCGUAAAGAGCUCGUAGGCGGUGUGUCGCGUCGGCCGUGAAAACCUGCAGCUUAACUGUGGGCAUGCGGUCGAUACGGGCAUCACUGGAGUUCGGCAGGGGAGACUGGAAUUCCUGGUGUAGCGGUGAAAUGCGCAGAUAUCAGGAGGAACACCGGUGGCGAAGGCGGGUCUCUGGGCCGAUACUGACGCUGAGGAGCGAAGGCGUGGGGAGCGAACAGG